RNAcentral lists this ribosomal RNA (460 nucleotides) under uncultured bacterium. RNAcentral describes it as "partial 16S ribosomal RNA". It matches the Rfam family "Bacterial small subunit ribosomal RNA", at positions 338 to 795 of the family's 1533-position model. The record is from RNAcentral.
CCUACGGGAGGCAGCAGUGAGGAAUAUUGGUCAAUGGGCGGAAGCCUGAACCAGCCAAGUAGCGUGCAGGAUGACGGCCCUACGGGUUGUAAACUGCUUUUAUACGGGAAUAACGCGCCUUACGUGUAGGGCUUUGCAUGUACCGUAUGAAUAAGGACCGGCUAAAUCCGUGCCAGCAGCCGCGGUAAUACGGAAGGUCCGGGCGUUAUCCGGAUUUAUUGGGUUUAAAGGGAGCGUAGGCCGCAUGUCAAGCGUGCUGGGAAAGUUCCGGGCUCAAACCGGGCCGUGCAGUGCAAACUGGCGGGCUUGAGUCAGCGGAAAGCAGGCGGAAUUCGUGGUGUAGCGGUGAAAUGCUUAGAUAUGACGCAGAACCCCGAUUGCGAAGGCAGCUUGCUGCAGCGGAACUGACGCUGAUGCUCGAAAGCGCGGGUAUCGAACAGGAUUAGAUACCCGGGUAGUC